RNAcentral lists this ribosomal RNA (894 nucleotides) under Trechispora confinis. Its description in RNAcentral is "eukaryotic LSU rRNA". It matches the Rfam family "Eukaryotic large subunit ribosomal RNA", at positions 1 to 914 of the family's 3401-position model. The record is from RNAcentral. Lineage: Eukaryota; Fungi; Basidiomycota; Agaricomycetes; Trechisporales; Hydnodontaceae.
CUGACCUCAAAUCAGGUAGGACUACCCGCUGAACUUAAGCAUAUCAAUAAGCGGAGGAAAAGAAACUAACAAGGAUUCCCCUAGUAACUGCGAGUGAAGCGGGAAAAGCUCAAAUUUGAAAUCUGGCGGUUAUGCCGUCCGAGUUGUAUUCUGGAGAAGCGUCUUCCGCGCCGGACCGUGUACAAGUCCCUUGGAACAGGGCGUCAUAGAGGGUGAGAAUCCCGUCUCUGACACGGACCCCCGGUGCUAUGCGAUGCGCUCUCGAAGAGUCGAGUUGUUUGGGAAUGCAGCUCAAAACGGGUGGUAAAUUCCAUCUAAAGCUAAAUAUUGGCGAGAGACCGAUAGCGAACAAGUACCGUGAGGGAAAGAUGAAAAGCACUUUGGAAAGAGAGUAAAACAGUACGUGAAAUUGUUGAAAGGGAAACGCUUGAAGUCAGUCGCGUCUGCCGGAACUCAGCCUUGCUUCUGCUUGGUGCACUUUCCGGUCCGACGGGCCAGCAUCGGUUUCGAGCGGCGGACACUGGCGUGGGGAAGGUGGCGGCUCCGGCCGUGUUACAGCCCCGCGUCGCGAACGCCGCCCGGGACCGAGGAAUCCGGCGCAAGCCUGGGAUGCUGGCGUAAUGGCUUUAAACGACCCGUCUUGAAACACGGACCAAGGAGUGCUACGUGCUCGCGAGUGUUUGGGUGGAAAACCCGGACGCGCAAUGAAAGUGAAAGUCGAUACCCCUCGCGGGGGCACCGACGCCCGAGCCUGAUGUUUUCGGAAGGCCUUGCGGUAGAGCGAGUGCGUUGCGACCCGAAAGAUGGUGAACUAUUCCUGAGGAGGGCGAAGCAGAGGAAACUCUGGUGGAGGCUCGUAGCGGUUCUGACGUGCAAAUCGAUCGCAGGACUUGG